RNAcentral lists this long non-coding RNA (576 nucleotides) under Homo sapiens (human). RNAcentral's name for it is "non-protein coding lnc-NAP1L5-3:1". Lineage: Eukaryota; Metazoa; Chordata; Mammalia; Primates; Hominidae. The record is from RNAcentral.
AGUAAUCACCAAGACUGUCAGCUGCCUGCAGUUAUCGGGAAGAGCAGCCUGGGGAAAGUUAAAGGAGCACAGAUGGACAGUUGCUUUCUGCAUGCAAGUGGCCAGCUAGGAUCCGGGGGGCAUCAAGCCAUGAUUUUUAUUUCUGUGCUGGAUGCAUUAGCAGCUGUGACUUGGAAGGUUUUAUCCUGAAGGAGUGGAAUUGCUGCAGACGUCUUGGGGUUUUGGUGAGCAGUAGAUAUUUGGGGACAUUGUGCUGUUAUUGCAGAGCCCCACAAUGAAGAUCCAGGAGCAUCCCAGCCUAUCUGACACCAAACAGCAGAGAAAUCAAGAUGCCGGUGACCAGGAGGAGAGCUUUGUCUCCGAAGUGCCCCAGUCGGACCUGACUGCAUUGUGUGAUGAAAAGAACUGGGAAGCGGGAGAACAGUGACUCUGAUGAAGCCCACCUCUCGCCGCAGGCUGGGCGCCUGAUCCGUCAGCUGCUGGACGAAGACAGCGACCCCAUGCUCUCUCCUCGGUUCUACGCUUAUGGGCAGAGCAGGCAAUACCUGGAUGACACAGAAGUGCCUCCUUCCCCAC